CAGUAGCCGCGGUAAAACGUAGGGUGCAAGCGUUAAUCGGAAUUACUGGGCGUAAAGCGUGCGCAGGCGGUUAUAUAAGACAGAUGUGAAAUCCCCGGGCUCAACCUGGGAACUGCAUUUGUGACUGUAUAGCUAGAGUACGGUAGAGGGGGAUGGAAUUCCGCGUGUAGCAGUGAAAUGCGUAGAUAUGCGGAGGAACACCGAUGGCGAAGGCAAUCCCCUGGGCCUGUACUGACGCUCAUGCACGAAAGCGUGGGGAGCAAACAGGAUUAGAUACCCCUGUAGUCCCUGUCUCUUAUAC
Molecule: ribosomal RNA, 301 nt
Filed under: uncultured bacterium
Lineage: Bacteria
Description: partial 16S ribosomal RNA
Rfam family: Bacterial small subunit ribosomal RNA
Source: RNAcentral